This 1004-nucleotide long non-coding RNA is filed under the name Rattus norvegicus (Norway rat). Its description in RNAcentral is "long non-coding RNA NONRATT025583". The record is from RNAcentral. Lineage: Eukaryota; Metazoa; Chordata; Mammalia; Rodentia; Muridae.
GAGCUCCACCCCAUUCCUUGGUGGCCAGUCUUGCCCUGAAACCAGCUACCCCACCACAGCCACCGUCCCCAGCUUCUUCUCCAAGAGCAGCGACUUUCCUCAGAAUGCCUGUGGAAAUACCUACCCUCAUGCCUGUUGCCCUGACCACAGAAGGUUGGACAGGGGAUUCUAUUAGAGCCUCUGGCUGUGCUGCCUAAGCUUGUCACCUGCUUCCACCUCCCCAAUACUGCCGGACCACGGAUGGCCUCAAAUUCCACAGAAGAAGGAGCCAGAGCUGAGCCAAGCCUCACGACAGGGCAGAAAGGACAUGACCAGUGGUGUAAGUGAGGACCCUGAGCUGGGGACAUCUUCCUAUGGCCCUCAGAGGGAGGCAGGACAGUAAGAAUCAGAGAUCCUUCCAGAGGCCAUGCUGCAUGCCCAAAACUGGGGGAGGGGCUGCGAGUCUACAGGAGAUGCUGGGUGUGGUGCCAGCCCCACCUGCUAGGGUGUGGGUCUGCCUUGCCGGUGGCAGGACUCACACUGGCUUCAGGACAGUUUCCCACAGUAUGUUCCUGUGGCAAGAAAAGCGGAUACCCCAGCCAUCAUGCUACCUCUGUGCUCCGUGUGGAUAUGAUCGUGACCACGGUGUGAACCAGGAGUCAGAAUGGAAAGCCCACCCUGCUUGGACCCAGAGCUAGGAAGGAACAUGAGGCCGAGUUUCCUGGCAGAAGCAAAGAGGAAGAGACAAGUCCCGUGGCUGAACUGUACAAGAAGAAAGAAAGCCUGCGGAGGGAGGUCACCCGGCGUUCUCACACUCAGGAAGCCAGGCAGGGGACAGACGAAGAGUUUAAGUGUUCCUGGGCUACACCUGGAGAACCUGUCUCAAAGCAACAAGAAAAGUGUAACAGAAAGAGAAGUAGAAGAAACCAAAUAUUACCUGCCAUUCAGUCCCUUCCCUGUGGGUAGGGCCCCCUGUGCGAUGGCAUGUUGGAAGUCGCCUCUGCUGUCUGCCAUCUUCCACUCAG